Long non-coding RNA from Triticum urartu, 1033 nucleotides. RefSeq lists it as uncharacterized. The record is from RefSeq and is a predicted model, not a curated record. Lineage: Eukaryota; Viridiplantae; Streptophyta; Magnoliopsida; Poales; Poaceae.
CCUCUAUCUAGCACCGGUCAGAGAAAAUCUCUCUCCCCCUCCCUCUCUAAGUCUAUGUUGUGACUCCAGCGACCAUUCCCAGCCGCCGCCGCCACCACCUACGCCGGGCUAUUCCGGCGAGUUCCGGCGGCCCUCGCCGGUGCGCAGGACACGCCCGUGCUCCCCUCGCCAAGCUCCUUCCUUCCCUUCGUCCAUAUCCGCUGCUCGCGGCCGCGUCCCCUCCCCGCAGCUAGGGUUCCGGCUGCAGUGUCGCCUCCAACUCUGGCGAGUCACCCUCCACCUCCAUGGACGGCGAUGACCAUGCCCUGCCCAUGGACGAGGAGCUCGCCGCCGUCUGCUCCGGUAUGGUGCAGCUGAUCUGGGCCACCGACAUCCGCCUCGACGGCUCCUCCUAGCUCGGGGACCACUGUUAUUAUUGGUGGACUUGCUAUGGCGAUGUUAGUAGCUUGUUGCAAUGUUGUUACUGUCAUGUUUUCAAUUUAACUGCUACUCCUCUCGAGCUAAGGCACCUGAGCUAUUUACAGAAGGAAGGGACCCGACCUUCUUCACGGCUCGCGGCAGCGUCUCUCGUUGAUUCGUUCAUGCAACAAGGAGGGCACCCACACUUCUUCACGUCUCGUGCAACAAGGGUGAUCGACACGGACUACCGCUGCCCGGUGGGUGUCAUGCUCUUCAAACACUCGGAGGUGGACUUCGCCGUGAAGCACGGCGACCGCGUCGUACAGAUGAUCGUCCAGGUGAUUGCGAAGCCGGAGGUCGCCGAGGUGGAGGACCUCGAUACCAUCAUUUGGGGGGAGGGAGGAUUUGGGUCCACCAGCGUCUGAACUCUGAGCCUUGGUAGAUACAUCUAGAGAAGUGGUAUGUUUAGGCUGCUGAUCGAACACUAGGAAAGGUACCCACCUUUGGUUGUGUGCGUUUACUGUCAAAUGAAUCACGUGAUCUCUUGAAGUUGAGAUGUUCAAUGUUGCAUCCAUGAACGGUGCAAGUGUUAAGAUGGUCCUGUGACCUUAAUUUAUUUUGCACUAGACGUGUC